GGUGGCUCAGUGGUAGAGUGCUUACCUUGCAUGCAGGAGGCCCUGGGUUCGAUUCCUCAGCACCA
RNAcentral lists this transfer RNA (65 nucleotides) under Dipodomys ordii (Ord's kangaroo rat). It matches the Rfam family "tRNA". Rfam says of the family: Transfer RNA (tRNA) molecules are approximately 80 nucleotides in length. Lineage: Eukaryota; Metazoa; Chordata; Mammalia; Rodentia; Heteromyidae. The record is from Rfam by way of RNAcentral.